AAUUUUGGACAAUGGGCGCAAGCCUGAUCCAGCCAUGCCGCGUGAGUGAAGAAGGCCUUCGGGCUGUAAAGCUCUUUCGGACGGAAAGAAAUCGCGCAUGCUACUACACUGCGCGGAUGCCGGUAGCUACAUAAGAAGCACCGGCUAACUACGUGCCAGCCGCCGCGGUAAUACGUAGGGUGCGAGCGUGAAUCGGCCGUACUGGGGUGAAAGCGUGCGCAGGCGGUUGAUUAAGAACGGCGUGAAAUCCCCGGGCUUAACCUGGAACUGCGCUUGUGACUGGUCAGCUAGAGUACGGCAGAGGGGGGUGGAAUUCCACGUGUAGCAGUGAAAUGCGUAGAGAUGUGGAGGAACACCGAUGGCGAAGGCAGCCCCCUGGGCCGAUACUGACGCUCAUGCACGAAAGCGUGGGUAGCAAACAGG
Molecule: ribosomal RNA, 423 nt
Filed under: uncultured bacterium
Lineage: Bacteria
Description: partial 16S ribosomal RNA
Rfam family: Bacterial small subunit ribosomal RNA
Source: RNAcentral